CGGAGGGGCUAGCGUUGUUCGGAAUUACUGGGGCGUAAAGCGCACGUAGGCGGCUUUGUAAGUUAGGGGUGAAAGCCUGGAGCUCAAACUCCAGAAUUGCCUUUAAGACUGCAUCGCUUGAAUCCAGGAGAGGUGAGUGGAAUUCCGAGUGUAGAGGUGAAAUUCGUAGAUAUUCGGAAGAACACCAGUGGCGAAGGCGGCUCACUGGACUGGUAUUGACGCUGAGGUGCGAAAGCGUGGGGGAGCAAACAGGAUU
This 256-nucleotide ribosomal RNA is filed under the name uncultured bacterium. Its description in RNAcentral is "partial 16S ribosomal RNA". It matches the Rfam family "Bacterial small subunit ribosomal RNA", at positions 527 to 779 of the family's 1533-position model. The record is from RNAcentral.